RNAcentral lists this unclassified non-coding RNA (1036 nucleotides) under Hevea brasiliensis (rubber tree). The record is from RNAcentral. Lineage: Eukaryota; Viridiplantae; Streptophyta; Magnoliopsida; Malpighiales; Euphorbiaceae.
GGAUUAAUAACCAUAUAAGUACAACUGUUCACAUGUUUCUUGAUUUAACGCUGUAAAGAACAAAAUUGGAAUGUCCAGAUCAUAGAUAAAAGAAACUAUAUAUCAAAGAGGUUCAACUCCAAAACCUAAUGCACUGGAACAAAAUAUAUCUAUACAAGGCGGGUCUCACACAGACGCCAUAAACACAAAGAACUCCCUAUACACUGACCAUUUGAUCCUCUUGUUUAGCCCUGGUUGAAAGGAUGUAAUGAAAUUCCAUCAGAUGAUUUAGAAGAGUUCCUCCUUGAAUUACGAAUGAUGUGCAUUCAGCAGUGCCCGGUAUAUCAUGUCUAUGAAUUGGUCGUCCUGAACAAGCAUUACAAGUGCUUCCCGCACUUUAUCUCUGUUAACAACAGGAAUAUUGUUUGGGAUAGAAGAAGAAGUAGGAGUGAGAGAAGGAGGAGGAGUGGGCGGAGGAAAUGGUUGAAGCAAAGGAGCUCCAUAAGGGCGCUGGAGAUUUCCAAGUGGAAGAAGUGGAGGAGCAGUAGGCACUGAUGAAGAAAUGGGAGGCAUCAGCGGAGAGGAGGCAGGUGGAGGACCAAAAAAAGAUGACGGCUUCACCAGAUUUGAGGACCAUUUAGCACUGACAUCUGGUUCAGGUGCAUCAUGGAGGGGCCUCAAAAGGGAAGAAGCUGAAAGAGGAGGAGAUGGAAGCAGGACUGGUGCUGAAGACGAAGGAACAGAAGGAGGAGGACGAGGAGGAGGUAGGGUAGCUGGAGAUGCGUGGUAUAGCUGCCCUUGAACUGCAGUAUUAGAAGCAUUUCCAAUUGUCAAUGCAUUACUGAAGAAGUUCACAAAGGAAUUGUCCUCAGGGAGAUGUGGAGCAUUUGAUGCAGUAGACGAUGAAGGCUCCAGAGGACCAUCAAUUACAGCCAUGGUUGGAACUGCUUCCAGCUCUUCAAAUUCACUCUUUGUCAAUGGAACUUUUGACUUGGUAGGCACCUUGGAAUAUGCACCGAGUAUCCUGUCAAAGAGAUUUGCAACUUCUUCACAUUCA